CAGUCGCCGCGGUAAUACGAAGGGGGCUAGCGUUGUUCGGAAUUACUGGGCGUAAAGGGCGCGUAGGCGGCCAUUCAAGUUAGAUGUGAAAGCCCUGGGCUCAACCUAGGAAUUGCAUUUGAUACUGUUUGGCUUGAGUUCGGGAGAGGUGAGUGGAAUUCCCAGUGUAGAGGUGAAAUUCGUAGAUAUUCGGAAGAACACCAGUGGCGAAGGCGGCUCACUGGCUCAUACUGGACGCUGAGGUGCGAAAGCGUGGGGAGCAAACAGGAUUAGAGACCCGUGUAGUCCCUGUCUCUUAUAC
This 301-nucleotide ribosomal RNA is filed under the name uncultured bacterium. RNAcentral describes it as "partial 16S ribosomal RNA". It matches the Rfam family "Bacterial small subunit ribosomal RNA", at positions 509 to 807 of the family's 1533-position model. The record is from RNAcentral.